This 2595-nucleotide unclassified non-coding RNA is filed under the name Hevea brasiliensis (rubber tree). The record is from RNAcentral. Lineage: Eukaryota; Viridiplantae; Streptophyta; Magnoliopsida; Malpighiales; Euphorbiaceae.
UGCAAUUUUGCCUCAAGAAUUAAAUAGUUGUACAAAAGUUGUCAAUAAUAUUGUACAGGAUCAUUAAUUUUUCAAAUAUUCAUCUGCACAUAUUCAAAACUGAGUACAAAAUUUAGCACAAACAAUGAUAGCUCAGGUUUCCUAUGUGUGCAAGACAGUUUCAAAAAUUCAAGAAAUAUCAUGGCAGAAGCUGCCGAUGAUUCAGAAGUUUACAAAGAACUGAUAAACAAGGCAAGAAAAGAGGUGGUGGGGGGGGGAGGAGCUAAAUUCCUUCCUCAUUCCUUGUAUGUAUGUGUCUGAGAUUUGUCAUCAUGUAUGUUUGUUUGAAGUUGCCUUGCUCUCUUCCAUACAAUAACAAUGCCAUAAAGAUCAGAUGAAGCCAACAAAUUCUCUCCAUGGUUCCAAGCAACGCCAAUAACUGGAAAACGAUGACCCUGUAGCUUGUUCACACACGUAUGCCUUGGCCGCGUUAAAUCAUAGAAGUAAACAUUGGAAUCAUCACUUCCAACAACUGUUCAUUAGGAGACAAAGUCAGUAAAGCAAUCGCAUUGCUCUCAAGUCAGCUAAAAAGUUAGAGAUUCCUUAGAAAAUGUCAAUUCCUUAUUUGAGACUACCUAUAUAUUCUCCUUUUUCAAGGGAAAGGAGUGGGCAGAAAGAAGCCCGAAUGCUGUGUAACCGAGGAGCCAAUUUGAGUGAGCAACGUAGGGUCAGAUAACCUUGAAUUUCCAAGGCCACACUGAAGAAAGAAAGAUUUCCAUCUUGAGUGCAUGUCAGCAACACAGGGCCUCCUGCCAACAGGGAGAAACUUCGGUACUGCACAGUCGUCACUGGAGAUUUACUCUUGCUAUUUCGAUGGCGGUGAGAACGUGACAGGGCACCUAUGUGUGAGUCCAUGCUUACGCAGUAUAUACAUCCCUGCGCAUCCCCACAGAAAAUGAGCUGACCAGUGUGAUCGUGGUCCAUAGAGGUAACCUUAGCAUCAAAUACUGAUUUAUGAAUAAUCCUGCCAGUGCUGAAAUUGAAUACCUGAAUAUCAGUAAAGAAGUUUAGAAAUGAAUGGUGUUAUGUGAAAAAUUAUAGGACAACCUAGAAUUGUCAGUUCUUUGUAUUCGAAAGACAAGCAAUAUCAAACAAUAAGAACCUAACUUAUUAUCAUUCCAACAUGAACACAGAAGCGCAAGAAGCUUUCACAAAUAAGUAAAUGACUUUACAAAUCGUUUAAAAAGCAAGGAAGAUCACUUUACUUCAUUUCAGAUCUUCAUACAAGGUAGAUGCAUUAUUACAUUCAACCGAUUGUAAGAACAAUUCUAAGUGAAUACAGAAAGUCAGUCAUGUCAAUACUAUGUGCAGGCAAAGGUAAGUGGUAAUUACAGUGAUUUCUUUGUUUUCAUUGCCAGCUGAAAGGAAGUUAUUAUUUACCUGCAUCAAAGGAGACAAAGGAGAAAUAAAACUUUUAGUGGUGAAGUACAUCACAAAGAAAGAAGAAAAUAUACAAGGACACAGAAAUUUUUCAGUAAUGAGCCCUAUUGAUACACUUCAUACACUGUAUACACACAAAACCAAAGAUAUUUAAAACCUCAUAAUGCAACAGAAAAACAUUGGAAAUGGAACUCGUUUAGAAGGACAAACAAUUUCAGAGAUGGGCUCGUGUAUAGAAGAAGUGACUCAAAAUAAAAAUCAAAUGCCACUUAAAAGUAAAAAGAAACAGAAAAAGUGUGAAAAUGAUAAGUAAAUUUCUGAAGGCAAACACUUCAAUGGUUCAAAGUAAAUGAAAAUGUCAAACUUCAUACUUACAGGAUGAAAACGAAUACAUAAUUGUGAAGAGACUCCAUAUAUUACUCGAAUGCAAAGGCCUUGUGACAACUCCCACACUCUAACAGUUUUAUCCAUGGAUGAGGAUGCAAUGUACUGAUUGUUGGAUGAGAAGUCAAAAUCUGUGACAUCUCUUGAAUGUCCCUUUAAUUGUUUGAGGACUGAAGGUUGCUCAGAGACAGUGCAUACUGUCAAGGUUCCGUCUGCUGCCCCAUAAGCAAGUAGAUCAGAACUCAUGUGCCCAAACUUCAAAACCGUAACAGCAGAUUUGCAUUGAUCAAAGAUACAAUGCAUUCCGACAAAAGAAUAUGCAGGUUCAACCCCUCGACGACGUGGAUGAUCCAUGUCACUUGUACUUGAGCUGAAACUUGAUCUAUGAGUUGAAGCCAGAUUGCCAGUUAGGUUCCUGCUAGAACUCCAGCUCUCCACCUCAAACAAAUGGGAUAGUGGACUUGGACAUUGAAGCCAUCGCCCACUAUUCCCUGGAGUGCUUUGGAAGCUUGGCAUUUGUUGAUUUUCCCAAUUUCUUGGCCUGCGUAUGUAAUUACGAUAGCUAACAUACCCUUUUCCAUUGCAUCUCCAAUCAAGUCGGCGAAGAUCACCAGACUCAGCUUUGCGAUAGAGAAGGAGGCGGCGAAUACCGAUAUAAUCAGGAUCAGAAUCAGCAGUCGCCGGCUGAAGCAAGCAGCUGAACAACUCUGGAUCCACAUCCUUCUUGAAGUUGUUAUGGUUGAUUUGAGUUUCCAUAGUUGAAGUGUUGAGGUUCUCCUGGAUUGCUUCCUC